AGCCACACCAUGCAUGUUCCCCACGGUGCGCUGGCUUGAGGAGAAGGACGCUUCAGAUUCAGAUUCUGACACCAGUGCUGAGAUUGAUGAAGAUAAUAAGGUUGCCAGUGCUGAGGUUGAUGAAGGUGAGCACACAUACACAAACAAAUACACAGAUGUAGUGGCAUUGCAAGUACCAUUUCUUCAGGAAUGGUAAGAAUUCUAGUUAAGUCUGUAAAUGUAAAACUAUAGGUCACAGCUUACAAGUAAAGGUCCUUUUACAUUGAACGCAAUUUUCUUUCCAUGUCAACAUAAUAAUUACUAAUCAUUGAGCUGAAUGGGACUAAUAGCUUUACACUAAUGUAUCCCAUUAUCUAUUGAA
Molecule: long non-coding RNA, 361 nt
Organism: Gadus chalcogrammus (walleye pollock)
Lineage: Eukaryota; Metazoa; Chordata; Actinopteri; Gadiformes; Gadidae
Exons: 3
Source: RefSeq, a predicted model, not a curated record